RNAcentral lists this ribosomal RNA (256 nucleotides) under uncultured bacterium. RNAcentral's name for it is "partial 16S ribosomal RNA". It matches the Rfam family "Bacterial small subunit ribosomal RNA", at positions 524 to 776 of the family's 1533-position model. The record is from RNAcentral.
UACGUAGGGCGCAAGCGUUAUCCGGAAUUAUUGGGCGUAAAGAGCUCGUAGGCGGUUUGUCGCGUCUGCUGUGAAAACCUAAGGCUCAACCUUGGGCUUGCAGUGGGUACGGGCAGACUAGAGUGCGGUAGGGGUGACUGGAAUUCCUGGUGUAGCGGUGGAAUGCGCAGAUAUCAGGAGGAACACCGAUGGCGAAGGCAGGUCACUGGGCCGCAACUGACGCUGGAGGAGCGGAAAGCAUAGGGGAGCGAACAGG